GGCUUAUUGAUUAUAAUUUUAAGUCUGGCCUGCCCAAUGAGUAAUUAAAUGGCCGCGGUAUAUUGACCGUGCAAAGGUAGCAUAAUCAUUAGUUUUUUAAUUGAAAGCUUGUAUGAAAGGUUAAAUGAGAGAGUUUCUGUCUCUGUAAAAAUUUAUUAGAAUUUUAUUUUUAAGUGAAAAAGCUUAAAUUUUCGUGGAAGACAAGAAGACCCUGUAGAGUUUUAUAUUUACUUAAAGUUGGAAUUUUAGGAAUAGGAAGUUUUAUUUUUAGGUAGGAGUAUUUUGUUGGGGUGAUUGGAAAAUUGGAUAAACUUUUCUUACAUGGAAACAUUUAUUUAUGAAUUUAUGAUCCUAAAAUAUAGAUUAAAAGAUUAAAUUACCUCAGGGAUAACAGCGUAAUCUUUUAUAGAGUUCUUAUCGAAUAGAAGGAUUGCGACCUCGAUGUUGAAUUAAAAUUAAUUUUUGGUGUAGAAGCUAAUGAUAUUAGGUCUGUUCGACCUUUAAAAUUUUACAUGAUUUGAGUUUAAACCGGCGUGAG
This 538-nucleotide ribosomal RNA is filed under the name Trigonopterus sp. 65 AR-2022a. Its description in RNAcentral is "partial large subunit ribosomal RNA". It matches the Rfam family "Archaeal large subunit ribosomal RNA", at positions 1952 to 2694 of the family's 2987-position model. Lineage: Eukaryota; Metazoa; Arthropoda; Insecta; Coleoptera; Curculionidae. The record is from RNAcentral.